This 250-nucleotide ribosomal RNA is filed under the name uncultured bacterium. Its description in RNAcentral is "partial 16S ribosomal RNA". It matches the Rfam family "Bacterial small subunit ribosomal RNA", at positions 524 to 773 of the family's 1533-position model. The record is from RNAcentral.
UACGGAGGGCGCAAGCGUUGCUCGGAAUCACUGGGCGUAAAGCGUACGCAGGCGGACCGUUAAGUCGGGUGUGAAAGCCCAGGGCUCAACCCUGGAAUUGCAUUCGAAACUGGCGGCCUUGAGUACGGGAGAGGGAAGCGGAAUUCCUGGUGUAGAGGUGAAAUUCGUAGAUAUCAGGAGGAACAUCAGUGGCGAAAGCGGCUUCCUGGCCCGAUACUGACGCUCAUGUACGAAAGCGUGGGGAGCAAAC